Molecule: ribosomal RNA, 1289 nt
Filed under: uncultured fungus
Lineage: Eukaryota; Fungi
Description: eukaryotic LSU rRNA
Rfam family: Eukaryotic large subunit ribosomal RNA (bases 609-1289)
Source: RNAcentral
CUUGGUCAUUUAGAGGAAGUAAAAGUCGUAACAAGGUUUCCGUAGGUGAACCUGCGGAAGGAUCAUUAAUGAUUGCGAAUAGUUACCUUUGGUGCUGGCUCUUGCGAGCAAGUGCACGUUGGUGGCUUUCAUCCACUACUACCCUUGUGAACCUUUGGCCUCUUGCUAGCUUCGGCUGGCAGAGGAUUUUACACACACACUCGAAUGUAAUGAAAACGUUUGUCGUGCGCAAGCACUAAUGUACAACUUUCAACAACGGAUCUCUUGGCUCUCGCAUCGAUGAAGAACGCAGCGAAAUGCGAUAAGUAAUGUGAAUUGCAGAAUUCAGUGAAUCAUCGAAUCUUUGAACGCACCUUGCACCCUUUGGAAUUCCGAAGGGUAUGCUCGUUUGAGUGUCAUUGUACUCUCACACUCUCUGAUCCUUUGGAUUCGGGGAGCGGUGGACUUGGGUGUUUGCUGCUUUCCUUGUGGCUCACCUCAAAUGCGUCAGUGCACCUCUUGGUUGGACAUAGUACGGCGUGAUAAGUGUCUUCGCCGGCACCUCGCAAGAGGGUGGCCGAUCGAGAGCUCUGUGCUUUCAAACCGUCUUCGGACACUCUCUGACAACUUGACCUCAAAUCGAGUAGGACUACCCGCUGAACUUAAGCAUAUCAAUAAGCGGAGGAAAAGAAACUAACAAGGAUUCCCCUAGUAACGGCGAGUGAAGAGGGAAGAGCUCAAAUUUUGAAUCUGGCGCCUUUGGCGUCCGAAUUGUAAUCUAGAGAAGUGUUUUCCGUGACGGACCGUGCACAAGUCUCCUGGAAUGGAGCGUCAUAGAGGGUGAGAAUCCCGUAUAUGGCACGGACUGCCGUUGCUCUGUGAUACACUCUCGACGAGUCGAGUUGUUUGGGAAUGCAGCUCUAAAUGGGUGGUAAAUGCCAUCUAAAGCUAAAUAUUGGCGAGAGACCGAUAGCGAACAAGUACCGUGAGGGAAAGGUGAAAAGCACUUUGGAAAGAGAGUGAAACAGUACGUGAAAUUGUUGAAAGGGAAACGCUUGAAGUCAGUCGCGCCGUUCGGGAUUCAGCCUUGCUUCUGCUUGGUUCACUUCCCGUUGGGUGGGUCAACAUCAGUUUUGGUCGGAGGAGAAAGGCUUGGGGAAGGUGGCAGCAUUCGUGCUGUGUUAUAGCCCCUUGUUGUAUACUUCGACUGGGACUGAGGACCGCAGCACGCCUUUGGCCGGGGUUCGCCCACGUACGUGCUUAGGAUGUUGGCAUAAUGGCUUUAAGCGACCCGUCUUGAAACACGGACC